GUGCUUGCUUCAGCAGCACAUGUACUAAAAUUGGAAUGAUACGAAGAAGAUUAGCAUGGCCCCGAUGCAAGGAUGACACACAAAUUCACAAAGCAUUCUAUAUUUUU
This 107-nucleotide small nuclear RNA is filed under the name Dasypus novemcinctus (nine-banded armadillo). The record is from RNAcentral. Lineage: Eukaryota; Metazoa; Chordata; Mammalia; Cingulata; Dasypodidae.